AGCGAGCGAAUAGCGGAAGGGAAAGGGGAAGAGUACCCCGGGAGGAGAGUGAAACAGUCGCAGAAACGGGCCGCCUACAAACCGUCGGAGCCCGUUUGUGGGGUGACGGCGUGCCUAUCGAAAAAUGAGUCUGCGAGUCAGUGGCAUGUGGCGAGCAUAACCCGUGUGGGGUAUGCGUAGCGAAGGCGAGUCUUAAAAGGCGUUUGAGUCGCGUGUCCUGGCCCCGAAGCGGGAUGAUCUAGCCCUGAGCAGGUUGAAGCGCGGGCAAGACCGCGUGGAGGACCGAACCCACCCGGGUUGAAAACCGGGGGGAUGACCUGGGGCUAGGGGCGCACUGCCAAUCAAAUUCCGGGAUAGCUGGUUCUCUCUGGAAUGCAUGUGGGUGCAGCGUCGGGGCAUGACGUCCCGGGGGG
RNAcentral lists this ribosomal RNA (413 nucleotides) under Bifidobacterium longum. Its description in RNAcentral is "bacterial LSU rRNA". It matches the Rfam family "Bacterial large subunit ribosomal RNA", at positions 489 to 903 of the family's 2925-position model. The record is from RNAcentral. Lineage: Bacteria; Bacillati; Actinomycetota; Actinomycetes; Bifidobacteriales; Bifidobacteriaceae.